RNAcentral lists this long non-coding RNA (229 nucleotides) under Elaeis guineensis (African oil palm). RNAcentral describes it as "long non-coding RNA (EGUI_LNC069889)". The record is from RNAcentral. Lineage: Eukaryota; Viridiplantae; Streptophyta; Magnoliopsida; Arecales; Arecaceae.
ACCAUAACUAUCUCAUUUUUAGCGACUUAACAAUUUUAGAGGAUUUAAUUAGUUGAAUUGGGAGAUGAAAAAAAGACUUGAUCAGUUAAUCUUAAUCCUCCCACUGACUUCACCAAGUUAGAUUAAAGAAGAUUAGACAUAAGCUGGUCCAGCCAACCAGUUAUAAAUUCUCCCACUGACUUCACCAAGUCAUGAAGAGGACUCAAGACAAGUUGAAUUAAGAGCACCU